Molecule: ribosomal RNA, 465 nt
Filed under: Vreelandella stevensii
Lineage: Bacteria; Pseudomonadati; Pseudomonadota; Gammaproteobacteria; Oceanospirillales; Halomonadaceae
Description: partial 16S ribosomal RNA
Rfam family: Bacterial small subunit ribosomal RNA
Source: RNAcentral
CCUACGGGGGGCAGCAGUGGGGAAUAUUGGACAAUGGGGGGAACCCUGAUCCAGCCAUGCCGCGUGUGUGAAGAAGGCCCUCGGGUUGUAAAGCACUUUCAGUGAGGAAGAACGCCUGGUGGUUAAUACCCAUCAGGAAAGACAUCACUCACGGAAGAAGCACCGGCUAACUCCGUGCCAGCAGCCGCGGUAAUACGGAGGGUGCGAGCGUUAAUCGGAAUUACUGGGCGUAAAGCGCGCGUAGGUGGCUUGAUAAGCCGGUUGUGAAAGCCCCGGGCUCAACCUGGGAACGGCAUCCGGAACUGUCAAGCUAGAGUGCAGGAGAGGAAGGUAGAAUUCCCGGUGUAGCGGUGAAAUGCGUAGAGAUCGGGAGGAAUACCAGUGGCGAAGGCGGCCUUCUGGACUGACACUGACACUGAGGUGCGAAAGCGUGGGUAGCAAACAGGAUUAGAUACCCUGGUAGUC